RNAcentral lists this ribosomal RNA (734 nucleotides) under Necterosoma regulare. RNAcentral describes it as "partial 16S ribosomal RNA". The stretch from base 1 to 545 matches the Rfam family "Bacterial large subunit ribosomal RNA", at positions 1923 to 2925 of the family's 2925-position model. The record is from RNAcentral. Lineage: Eukaryota; Metazoa; Arthropoda; Insecta; Coleoptera; Dytiscidae.
UUAAAUGGCCGCAGUAAUUUGACUGUGCGAAGGUAGCAUAAUCAUUAGUUUUUUAAUUAAAAGCUUGUAUGAAUGGUUGGACGAGAUAAAAUCUGUCUUUAGAUAAAUUUUAGAAUUUAAUUUUUAAGUUAAAAAGCUUAAAUUUUUAUAAAAGACGAGAAGACCCUAUAGAUCUUUAUAAUAUUAUAUUUAUUUUUAAUAAGGAUUAUUUUAUUAUUUAAAUUUAGUGUUAUUUUAUUGGGGUAAUAUGAAGAUUAAUUAAAUUCUUUAUUAUAUUUUUUCAAUAAUUUUUGUUUAUUUGAUCCUUAAUUUAAGAUUAAAAGAUUAAGUUACCUUAGGGAUAACAGCGUAAUUUUUUUAAAGAGUUCAUAUCGAUAAAAAAGUUUGCGACCUCGAUGUUGGAUUAAAAAUAAUUCUAGGUGUAGAAGUUUAGAUUAUUGGUCUGUUCGACCAUUAUAUUUUUACAUGAUCUGAGUUCAGACCGGUGUAAGCCAGGUCGGUUUCUAUCUUUAUUAAAUUAAUAUAUUUUAGUACGAAAGGACCAAAUAUUUAUUAUAUUUAUAUUUAUUUUUUGAAUAAUAUUAUUACUUUGGCAGAUUAGUGUAUUGAAUUUAGAAUUCAAAUAUGUAGUUAUACUACAAGUAAUAUUGUUUAAGUUUGAUUUUAUAAUUUCUUUAAUUUGUUUUUUAUUGUUAGKAGUUUGUGUAUUAAUUGGUGUUGCUUUUUUAACUUUA